Molecule: long non-coding RNA, 8298 nt
Filed under: Octopus vulgaris (common octopus)
Lineage: Eukaryota; Metazoa; Mollusca; Cephalopoda; Octopoda; Octopodidae
Source: RNAcentral
GUAUAUAUUACACAUAUGUGUGUGUGUAUAUAUAUAUAUAUAUAUAUAUAUAUAUAUUAUAUAUGUAUGUGUAUAUUAUGCAUAUUUGUGUGUAUGUAAUGUGUAUAUAUAUUAUAUGUGUAUAUAUUCUUUUACUUCUUAUGGUGAUUGACUUGUGGCCCUGCUGGGGCACUACUUUGCCUCCCCCCCCCCAGUACUUAUAUUUUUAAAGUUUGGUACUUAUAUUGGCCUCUUUUGUGAAGCCACAAAGUUAUAAAACCAACACCAGUUGUCAGAUGAUAGAGAGGAGGUGAACACAAAGACAGACAGACAGACACACACACGUGUGUGUGUGUAUGUAUAUAUAUAUAUAUAUAUAUAUAUAUAUACACACACACACACACACACAUACACAUGACUGGCUUCCUCACAGUUUCUAUCUGUCAAAUCUACCUAAUUUACUUACAAAGCAUUGAUCAGUCUGGGGCUGUUGUAUAAGGCACUUCUGCAAGGUGCUGCCACGCAGUGGGACUGAACCUGAAUCCUCAAAGUCUUCACACUUUCCAUGUACCAAAUUUCAAUCAAGGUCAGGUUAUUAGUUGACCUAAGGUUUUGAGAGAAACCUUUUACUCAAAGCAUCACCAUUAUUUGGAAGGCAACAAACCAUCAAGAGCCUGAUGGAUGUGAAGUCAGCUUCUUAACCGUUGCAUUUAUAAUCUUCUUCUUCUUCUUGCAGCAUUCACCCGGGGUGGGUCGAGCUGGCUUCAUUCAUCCCCAAUGCUGUAUCUCUUACAAACGCCGACCAGGCCUGGCGAUUUGAGGCUAACGACCGCGCGUGAUCUCCAACCACUCCUUAUUCCAGCGGCAAACACUGUAGAUAUGGGGGCCUAGGUUGGGUCCCAGAUCAGCCUUGACUGUCAUCAGCCAGGUUUUUCGUUGUCCACGAACUUCCCUCUCCCAAGAUCCUUCAAAUAUUCCUCAUGCAUUUAUAAUAAUAAAUGUUAAUAUUUUACAUGAGUUAUAAUCCUUGGCCUUAAUUAACUGUAAACGAGCAAUAAAUAAAGUAUUUUUAUGUAUAUUGACAAUUCAGACAGAAGUAAAAGCGUGGUUGUCCUUGCAUGCAGGUUUGUCCCCUGCAUCCCUCUCCGGCUGAACAUUCCGAACCUCGUGGGCUCAUGGGUGCUAAUGUCAUGUAAAAAGCACAUAUACCGGGGCCAUGUAAAUGCAUCUGUGCCAGUGCUGCGUAAAAUUGAACCCUGUACACUGUGUGAAGUGGUUGGCAUCAGGGAGGGCAUCCAGCUGUAGAGACCAUGCUGUAAACAGACAAUUGGAGGAGCCGGGGUAACUCUUCAGCUGGUCAGCUCUGUGUCAAACUGUCCAACCCAUGCCAGCAUAGAAAACAGACAUUAAAUUAUGGUAAUGAUGAUGAUGAUUAUUAAAAUGAAAGCAAAAUAUAGAAUUAAAAAAAAAAGAAAAUCUGCCGAUGUUCAAUUGUUACAGUUUGCAAGCAAGCAAAGUCCAAAUGCUUAGACCUGCUGUUCUUAACCUUAAGUGGCCCUCAAGCAUCCUUCAGCGGCCCUGAUGGUCAUCCGUCUCUAAAUCUUAUAAAUUUUUCUUUAACGUUUUACCAUUCAGAUUAUUUUGACAAAUGUAAUGCUUCUUUGUUCACAUUUUAAAGAAUUAAAGAAUUAAUCCUGUAUUAUCUUGUAGCUUUGAAAUUUUGAAGAUAUGAUUGUUUAUAUAUAUACUGGCAGAUGGAUUUAACCAAAUCAUCAACCACUGAUGAUGAUGCCUUGGAAAUAGGCAAAACUAGUCUAGUGGUUCCAGAGAUGGUCAUGGUGUGGUUACUUCCCCUCUGUGUGUGUGUGAAUAUAUAUAUAUAUAUAUAUAUAUAUAUAUAUAUUACUGAGAUGUACUUGCAUAGCAAGUGACCUGAUCUGAGAUUGUGUGUGCUGGAACGAAAACAGUUGCAGCAUAGAAGAUGUUUAUAAGCCAUUUAAAAACACACAAAAACUGUUAGAUUCACUUCAACAUUUAAAUUUAAUAUGCCAAAAUAUUUUCAUCGCUUUGAGACCGUGACCUGUUCACUGACAAAAUUCUGUGCUGCAGAAUAUAUAUAUAUAUAUAUAUAUAUAUAUAUAUAUAUUGCACUCUUACAGCAUUGAGAGUUUAACUCUUAUUUCUAGCAAUGUAGGUUCUUAUGCACCCUUAGUCACAUUUAGUGGCAAUUAAAUAUUUCCUUUAUAGUGUAUGAGUAUAUAUAUAUAUAUAUAUAUAUAUAUAUGAGAUUUUUGUGCAAACACCUUGCUGUUGUAAGUGUUACCAGUUGAAAGCCCCACAUACCAGAUGCUAGUAAGUUUAUGGGAUCAAGAGAGAAUGCAUACCCUUUUAUAUUUAUUUAUGUAUAUAUAUGUAUAUAUAUACAUGAGUAAAACGCCCCCUAUCCAAUGGACAGUGCUGAGUUGUCAAACAUUUAAACCAAAUUUUCUCAAAACUUGUCUGACCGUCCCUAAGGCCUCCCCUUUGAGAAACACUGAUUUAACCUAAAUUUGAGACGCCAGCAAAAGACAGAUUUCAACCGAUGUACUUGCGCAUACAAAUGCACGUUCCCACGGCUUUAUCAAUCGCAUUCUCUGUAAUUUUUUCAAGACUUAUACACGCCCUGAUACUGUCAGUAUCUAUAUAUCAAAUUUGAGCGCAAUCGGAUGCAGGAUGCCCGAGAUCCUAGAAGACACACACAGACAGACAGAAUGGAUUUUAUAUAAUAUAUAUAUAUAUGUGUGUAUGUAUUCACACACAGUCCUGUUUGUAUGUAUGUAUGCUUAGAGCAACAAGUUGGCCUUCGUGCCAAUGGCAUGUUAAGCACACCAUUCGAGCGUGAUCGUUACCGCAUCACCUUACUAGCACUUGUGCUGGUGGCACGUGAAAUAUUCGAGCGAGGUCGUCGCCAGUGCCGCUGGAGUGGCUCCUUUGCAGGUGGCACGUAAAAAGCACCAUUUGGGCGUGACCGUUGCCAGUACCAUCAAACUGGCCCUCUUGCCGGUGGUACGUAAAAUCACCCACUACACUCUCGGAGUGAUUGGUGUUAGGAAGGGCAUCCAGCUGUAGAAACUCUGCCAGAUCAGAUUGGAGUCUGGUUUGCCAGACCUCAGUCAAAUCGUCCAACCCAUGCUAGCAUGGAAAGCGGACGUUAAAUGAUGAUGCAUCUAUAAACACAUACAGAUACACACAAGUCCACAAAAUCACAUAUGUAUGAAUAUGUUGCAUAUCUGUACAACUCCGGAAUGAAAAAUCACAUCUAGAAUGUCCCAAUUGUUUUCUAAAAUUUAAUAUUACAAGCAAGCCAUAACUAAUUUCUCUUACCACAACCACCACCACCUCAAGCCGUAAUAGAACUCAGUGUUAUUUGUAUUAUCCAGUUUGUAUUAUGUUAUUCUGUUAAACCUGUGGCUUUCCCUGCAAACCAACAAAGAGACACACACACACAUUUUCUCUUUAAUGUUCCUAUUUUAUAAAAGGUGUGAAAGAUUUAAAUAGUUAAAUGUGAAUAUAGAGACAACAUUAUACACGCACACACACACAUAGAUACACUAUAUAUAUAUAGUGUGUCUAUCCAUUUAUAAAUGCUAUAAAUGUAUGUGCAUAUAAAUAUAUAUGUGUGCAUGUAAACAUGUUUGCAUAUGUGAGUGUGCAAAUGUAAAUGUGUUUGCAUUGUGUGUGUGUGUGUGUGCAUGUAAACAUGUAUGUAUGUGUGUUUGCUUGUAAAUAUGUGUGUGUGUGUGUGCACAUGUGUGUUUGCAUGUGUGUGUAUGUAUGUGCUUGUAAACAUGUUUGCAUAUGUGUGUGUUUGCAUAUAUAUAUGUGUGUGUGUGUGUUAAGGUGGUGAACUGGUAGAAUUGUUGGAGUAUUGAAUUAUCAUGGUGUCUAGCUUGUGCCUCCUCGGAGGGGAACGUUCUAGGUUCAAUCCCAUGGUAAUUCGUGGCCAAAGGGAGUCUUUAUAUAAUGUGCAUUUAGGUUUUCAUUUAUUGUUAUUGCACACUAAUCGUUAAGAAAUGUCACCACCAUACAAAUGAAGUCAUUCGUUUGCAAUCUUCCUCAAAAUCAGGUCAGGCCACUGAGGUAAUUGUGUUCAGGAGACAAGAAGUGUGUGUGGGGGGAAUUACAUUAAAUGGAAACAGAUCAGAGUUGGUAGCAAGAAGAACAUGUAGCUAUAGAAAAUCUGCCUCAAUGAGUUUCAUCUGAUCCAUAUCAGCAUGAAAAUAUGGACCUUCAAACAGCAAUAAUGGUUUACAACCAACAAAUAUUGUAAAUAUGCAUUUCGUUAUUGUCCACAGGUGGCUAAACGUAGAGGGGGCAAACAAGGAUAGAUAAAGGGAUUAAGUCGAUUACAUCGACUCCAGUGUGUAACUGGUACUUAUUUAAUCGACUCCGAAAGGAUUCCAGCUUGCUGCCUUUUGUAAAUAUUGUAAUAUCUAUGGGAGACAGUUACAGAUUUCUCAGAGGAUUAUAGGAUCUACCGUGAAGUAUGAGAACUGACCAAAACUAUGUCAAUGUUAUGUCAACCUUAUCACAGUAAUUACUGAAAUACGGUUUUGAGUUUUUGGACUCGGAGGGCUGGUUACUUGGUUUCCGUGAUACCAAUCCAGUGCAAGGUGGUCACUCAUUUUGGAGUUGAAUGGACUGAAAGAAUGUGAAAAGAAAUAUUUCACACAAAAACACAAUGCAGUGACUCGUCCAAGAAUUGAAACCAUUAUCUUGCAAUUAUGAUUGCCUAAUUAAUUUGCACAAAUUAAUUUAAAGCAAUUUAUCAUUAAACUGAAGGAUUACUCAUUAUUUUUUAAUGGAAUAUAUAUUUUUUAAAUUGCUCUCCUUCGUCAGAUUGUCUGAUGAAAAGGAAGUAAAAUCUUUCUCAAAAUAAUAGUUGAUAUGUAUGAAAGUUGAUACGUACAAACCAUGCCUGUGCGGAAAUGGACAUUGAUGAUGAUGAUAUGUACUCAUGCAUGUAUACAUACAUGUGUGUGAAAGCGUGUAGCCAAGAUUGUGUGUUUGAUUCCCUGAUUGGACAGCACGUUGUAUUCUUGAGCAAAACAAUUUCACAUUGCUCCAGCCUGACCUUUCAAUCAUUGGGGAAUGUUGACCUGCUCACCUAACCAGUGGGGUGGCAUUAUUCGAAGGUUAAAACAAUGCAAAAUGCAUUGUGACCAGUGCUGUGUAACAACAUUUGAUGGCUUGGUUGGUCCAAAGAUAAUGGACAGAGUCAACAACUAUUGAAAAGAUUGUAAGACACAAAGAAAAUUUUAGGAAAAAUAAAUAAGUAAAUGAGUGGAAAUAUUACCGGUGAGUGUGUUAAAGGCACUAAAAGAGAAUGACCCUCCCCAGACACAACAACAUUUUGAAGAGAAUCCAGCUGCAAAGACUGUGCCAAAGCAGACCUUACCAAUGCUGGUGCCAUACCCAGGCCACUCUGUAAAGUGGUUGGCAUCAGGAAGGGCACCCAACCAUAGAAACCUUCCAAAACUGAGAGCUGGCAGAAGCAUUAACAUGUGCAAAAUGCUAAGUGGCAUUUUGUCUAUCUUUACGUUCUGAGUUCAAAUUCUGCUGAGGUCGACACUGCCUUUCAUCCUUUUGGGGUCAAUAAAGUAAGUACUACUUGAGUUCUGGGGUUGAUGGAAUCGACUUAAGAUUGUGGUUUCGAUUCCUGGACCGGGUGACGCGUUGUGUUCUUGACCAAAACACUUCAUUUCACGUUGCUCCAGUCCACUCAGCUGGCAAAAAUGAGUAACGCUGCGAUAGACUGGCAUCCCGUCCAUCUGGGGAACACAUACGCCAUAGAAACUGGGAAACCGGGCCCAUGAGCCUGGCUGGGCUUUAAAAGGGCACAUUUAUUUAUUACUUAUACUCAUGGUCUUAUGGCUGUAGGUUCCAUCCUACUCUCUCUCUUUCUUUAAUAGUUUUUUUCUCAGUCUCUUUGCAAAUUCAAACAGUGUUCUGAUGUUAUCAGGCUUUUUAAUGCUUUGUUUUUUCCUUUCCACUCGAAAAUAACCCGUCUUUAACCCUAAAAUACCUGUUAAUAAUUAUUGGUGCUUCAAAUAUAACACUAUUUUGGAAAAAUAACAAAAUCAAAAGUCUGAAUAAGCUCAAAGGAUUCCUUUGAUUAUAUACAUCAUUAGCAAAGAGUUGAUCAGAAUAUUUGGUAGAAAUAUUGACAUCUGAAUAACUAUAUAGUAUACACACACACACACACUCACUCACACACACACACUCACUCACUCACUCACUCACUCACUCACUCACACACACACACUCACUCACACACAAAUAUUCACUCACAAGUCAUUAUUUUUUGUUUUUCUAAUGGUGGAACUUGAAGUAGAUAAAUCUAUAAAUAACAGCAUCUGGAAUACUGGGGCACCCUUUGAAUUUUUCCAUCUAAGGAGGAUUUUUUACCCAAUUUUCUUACUAUUUAUAGCUUUAUCAAAGCAGCAAGUUGGCAGAAUGGUUAGCACACUGGGCAAAAUGUUUCACGACAUUUCUUUCAGCUUUACAUUCUGAGUUCAAAUACCACCAAAGUUGACACUGCGUUUUAUCUUUUUGGGGUCGAUAAAAUAGGUACCUUUUGCAUACUGGGGUCAACGUAGUUGACUAACAUCCUCCCCCAAAGUUUCCUGCUUUCUGCAAAUUGUUGAAAGGAUUAUUUUUUUCUAAUCUAAGUUCUACCAUUUAAAACAAUUUAUUCCAAUCUCUCAAAGUUUCUAAAUGUUUAUAACAAGAGGCCAAGCUUCUUGGAGGUUUUGUAUUUUUCUUUUGAGAGAGCAAGAAUUAUAUAAUCUAUUUAUAGUUCUACAAAAAGAAAACAGUACAAUCUAAAAACGCUACAAAAGGAUUCAAUACCUUGUUACAUAGUGUUUAUAUUUAUUAUAUAUAACAACAACUUUCACUUGUGCAAUACAUCUAUAUUUUUCAUAUCUUUGAAAAUAGAUUGAAACACCAGUAAAAUAUCUGACACCUUACAUAUGUGUGUGAGAGAGAGAGAGUCCUGGUUUUCUUCGACAAUGACUCUUCAAAUCCAUAAAGGUUCCUACAUGCUUUGUAAUACCAACCUGCCCAACAACACCCCCUGUGGCUCUAUAAUACUAAUUCUGUGUUUUAAAAUGACCUAAAUUAAAAACUUCAAACCAAAUUUCGUGUUAAUUUCUGUUCCAAACACCAGCUUAAAAACGACUUGGCUAUUUUCCUAAAUCCUUCAGUAUUUUCAAAAUCAAUUGAAACGAAGACAGAAUAUGGAUCUUUUCGGUUUGAACGGCAGUUUUUUCUAGCGGUGUCAUAUGAAAUUGUCACCCAUAAUUAUGACCCUAGUAUCGAUCUAUUGCAUUUCAAUCUCUUUUAGGGUUAAGAUUAAGGGUGGGGGGAAGGGUAUCUUUUUCUUUACAAAUGUAAAUUAACCCAAUCUGUUUCUUAAACGAGGGACAUAUUCAUACGGCACAGAAUACAUUUUACCUCAAUGGAUGUCAGUGAUUAGCUGAAAUUGCAGAAAUUGAAGAAAAAAGAACAACAAAUAUAUUACAAACCAUAGAAUUUUCUCAAUAAAGCCAAGAGAAAAAGAUGUUUUAUAAACACAUUCUACCAGUAUACGAAGUUUAAAAUUUUUUAGUUACCUAGAAAUUAUGUUAAAAACUGCCGUUCAAAUAGAAAAGAUCCCAGAAUAUUUCAACAGAAAUAUGGUAACGGAAAGGUUAACAACAAUGCCUCACAUAUGCAUACCUGUACAUACAAACACAUAUACACACACACACAUAUGCAUACACACAUACAGGUGUGUCUAUGUAAGGAUGUAAACUUUUUUUUCCUGUUUUUUCCUUUUUGUCAAACACACUCCUUUAACCCUAAAUAAACUGAAAAAGAUCAAUAAAUAAUAUUUUUCCUUUCCUUAUUGGAAUAAUUUAUUGAUAAUCUAAUCAUAACAGGAUUACAAUAGUAAAAAAAAAAUCUAUUGAUUUUUUUUAUUUUUUGCAUUUUUUUUGACACCAACAGGUUUCAAACAGUCUGUAAAGAUAUUGUGGGCAUUGUCCCUCCUCUUCUAACCAACUCUUAUAUUAUUUAUUUUUGUGAAAUAUAUUUCAGACAAUUGUGAUGUAGUCAUUUUUCAGUGACAGUUUUUUUUUAUAUAAAUGUGUAUUAUUUAUCCGUCUUUCUGGUGUUGUUGUUGUUGUUGCUGCUGUUGUUUAGCCCCUCCCUCCACGGCAGUCCUAAUUAAGGAAACACUAUAUGAUUGCACAAACAAUACGAUUAUCUCCAACAUGUUUUUGUUGUUUUUCUCCC